AAGAGUUACCUAACUCCCAAACCCAUGUGAACUUACCUCUGUUGCCUCGGCAGGUCGCACCUUACCCCGUAAGGUCCUACCCUGUAGGACCCUACCCGGUAGGUGCGCAUGGCCUGCCGGCGGCCCACGAAACUCUGUUUUAAAUAUUGUAUUCUGAACCUAUAACUAAAUAAGUUA
Molecule: unclassified non-coding RNA, 177 nt
Filed under: uncultured Xylaria
Lineage: Eukaryota; Fungi; Ascomycota; Sordariomycetes; Xylariales; Xylariaceae
Description: sequence contains ITS1
Source: RNAcentral